RNAcentral lists this ribosomal RNA (506 nucleotides) under uncultured bacterium. RNAcentral's name for it is "partial 16S ribosomal RNA". It matches the Rfam family "Bacterial small subunit ribosomal RNA", at positions 28 to 523 of the family's 1533-position model. The record is from RNAcentral.
GAUGAACGCUAGCUACAGGCUUAACACAUGCAAGCCGAGGGGUAACGAGAGGAAAGCUUGCUUUCCUUGUCGACGACCGGCGCACAGGUGGGUAACGCGUAUCCAACCUGCCCCCAACUAGGGAAUAACCUUGCGAAAGUAAGACUAAUACCCUAUAAUUUCCUCAGAUGUCAUCUGACGAGGAAUAAAGAUUUAUCGGUUGUGGAUGGGGAUGCGUCUGAUUAGCUUGUUGGCGGGGUAACGGCCCACCAAGGCAACGAUCAGUAGGGGUUCUGAGAGGAAGGUCCCCCGCAUUGGGACUGAGACGCGGUCCAGACUCCUACGGGAGGCAGCAGUGAGGAAUAUUGGUCAAUGGGCGGAAGCCUGAACCAGCCAAGUAGCGUGCAGGAUGACGGCCCUAUGGGUUGUAAACUGCUUUUAUACAGGAAUAAAGUUAGCCACGUGUGGUUAUUUGUAGGUACUGUAUGAAUAAGGACCGGCUAAUUCCGUGCCAGCCGCCGCAGUAA